GGCCAGCAUGGCAGAGUGGUUUGAGCAUUGGACUAUGAUUCUGAAGACCAGGGUUCGAUUUCCAGCUCGGCCA
This is a non-coding RNA of Phrynosoma platyrhinos (Desert horned lizard), 73 nucleotides long. The record is from the annotation of a GenBank genome assembly. NCBI's taxonomy places the organism in Eukaryota, Metazoa, Chordata, Lepidosauria, Squamata, Phrynosomatidae.